RNAcentral lists this ribosomal RNA (465 nucleotides) under uncultured bacterium. RNAcentral describes it as "partial 16S ribosomal RNA". It matches the Rfam family "Bacterial small subunit ribosomal RNA", at positions 338 to 795 of the family's 1533-position model. The record is from RNAcentral.
CCUACGGGUGGCAGCAGUAGGGAAUUUUUCACAAUGGGCGAAAGCCUGAUCGAGCAAUGCCGCGUGAAUGAUGAAGGUCUUAUAGAUUGUAAAAUUCUUUUAUUUGGGAAGAAAAACUACAGUAGGUAAUGCCUUUAGUCUGACUGUACCAUUUUAAUAAGUAUCGGCUAACUCUGUGCCAGCAGUCGCGGAAAUACUUAGGAUGCAAGCGUUAUCCGGAUUUAUUGGGCGUAAAACGAGCGCAGGCGGGUUAACACGUUUGGUAUGAAAGGCUUUUGCUUAACGGAAGUUUGUAUCAAAAACUGUUAAUCUAGAGUGUAGGAGAGAGUUCUGGAAUUCCAUGUGGAGCGGUGGAAUGCGUAGAUAUAUGGAAGAACACCAGUGGCGAAGGCGAGAACUUAGGCUAUCACUGACGCUUAGGCUCGAAAGUGUGGGGAGCAAAUAGGAUUAGAUACCCUAGUAGUC